CGUCUAUAUACGUAUAGCAUAUCAAUAAGCGGAGGAAAAGAAACUAACUAGGAUUCCCUCAGUAACGGCGAGUGAAGCGGGAAGAGCUCAAAUUUGAAAUCUUCAAGGUUCUACCUUGACGAAUUGUAGUUUAAAGAAGUGUUUUCUGUUGGAGUUUUGGUAAAAGUUCUUUGGAAUAGGACAUCAUAGAGGGUGAGAAUCCCGUAUUUGACCAUUAUUUCCAACUUUGUGAUACACUUUCAAGAGUCGGAUUGUUUGGGAAUGCAGUCCAAAAUGGGUGGUAAAUUUCAUCUAAAGCUAAAUAUUGGCGAGAGACCGAUAGCGAACAAGUACCGUGAGGGAAAGAUGAAAAGAACUUUGAAAAGAGAGUUAAACAGUACGUGAAAUUGUCAAAAGGGAAGCGUUUGACACCAGUGUUGUUUUCUCGAAAAUCAAUUAAAAAUGGCUGGGAUUUUGUGUUGUAUUGACUUUAUCAGCUUUCUGCACUUUUUUCCUGUCUUUUUUAAUGCACUUUUCGUUUAACAAGUCAACAUCAAUUUCUUUUGUUGUAAAAGAGUCAGUUGGAAGGUGGCUUUCUUUUCGGAGAAAGUGUUUAUAGCCUUUGACUUCUGCAGUCGGAGAGAUUGAGGUCUGCAGCGUAGAUCCUUCGGGGUUAGAUGCAUUUGUGCUAAGCUAUAGCCUUUCAUAGACAACUUGUUGACUAUGAUCAGUCAUGUAGCUUACUCGCUUAUGUUAUUUUACCUACGCUUAGGAUGUUGACGAUCAGCUGAGCGCG
Molecule: ribosomal RNA, 775 nt
Filed under: uncultured Neocallimastigales
Lineage: Eukaryota; Fungi; Neocallimastigomycota; Neocallimastigomycetes; Neocallimastigales
Description: partial large subunit ribosomal RNA
Rfam family: Eukaryotic large subunit ribosomal RNA
Source: RNAcentral